This is a long non-coding RNA of Salvelinus sp. IW2-2015, 489 nucleotides long. RefSeq lists it as uncharacterized. NCBI's taxonomy places the organism in Eukaryota, Metazoa, Chordata, Actinopteri, Salmoniformes, Salmonidae. The record is from RefSeq and is a predicted model, not a curated record.
UACAUAUUCCCUGGGCUGUCCUUAAUCUGAUGCUGAACCAAAUCUGAUAUAUACUUGCCUUGGCCCCUGCAACAAGGAUAUUUCAUUUCAGAGCAGCACUGCGACAUGGUACAUGUCAUCAUGAUUGAAUGGUUUGGUGUCAUUCUUGUGUGAACUUCAGAGGGUCUAUUUACUUUCUUCUUACUUAAGGGCCAGCCCACAGAUUGACGAGGGCGUUCCUUUUAAAGAACACACCAAACAAUGGUGGCUGGCUCAGCUGGUUCUCUGGAGGGGAAAAGAGGUUAAUCAGAAGGAGGCUCAUCUACCCGAGGACAAAGACAAAUCGAUUAUCUGGGAUCCAACCCUGCACAGAUGGGUUGACAAAAUUGAGCACAAUGCUGAGAACAAGCCAGUACCACCACCUCCCCCGAUGGGAAUGAAUGGACAUCUGGGGAACUCUGGCAGUCUCCCCAAAGGAGUGAAUCCUUAGUCCAUGAAAGCAGGUGAAUG